Molecule: ribosomal RNA, 511 nt
Filed under: Newportia monticola
Lineage: Eukaryota; Metazoa; Arthropoda; Chilopoda; Scolopendromorpha; Scolopocryptopidae
Description: partial 16S ribosomal RNA
Rfam family: Bacterial large subunit ribosomal RNA
Source: RNAcentral
GGUUCUUUGAAAAACUAUAAAGAAUCUGGCCUGCCCAAUGAAAAUAAUUUGAAUGGCCGCGAUAUUUUAAUCGUGCUAAGGUAGCAUAAUCAAUUGUCUGUUAAUUGAAGACUGGAAUGAAUGGUUGGACUUGAGAUAAUUUUUUUUUAUUAUAUGGUGAAUUUUUUAUUUUUAUGAGGAGAUAAAAAUGAAGCAGGAAGACGAGAAGACCCUAUUAAGCUUAAUAAAAAAUCUUGUAGAAAUGUGUAGUGAUAAUUACUAGAGAUAAUAUUUUACUGGGGCGGUAAAGUUAGAUAAAACAACUUAUGAAUAAAAUAAUAGGAUAAAUGAAAAAUGAUCCAAAAUUUUUGAUUUAAAGACUAAGUUACUAUAGGGAUAACAGCGUAAUUUUAUUUUGAAGUUCAAAUUUAUGAUAGAGUUUGCGACCUCGAUGUUGGUUUAAGAUACCUAUUUGAUGAAGAAGUUAAAUAAGGUGGUUUGUUCAACCAUUAAAUUCUUAUAUGAUCUGAGU